AAUAUAUCGGAACGUACCUGGUAAUGGGGGAUAACUAUCCGAAAGGAUAGCUAAUACCGCAUACGCCCCGAGGGGGAAAGUGGGGGACUCGCAGGAGCCUCACGUUAUCAGAGCGGCCGAUAUCAGAUUAGCUAGUUGGUGAGGUAAAGGCUCACCAAGGCAACGAUCUGUAGCGGGUCUUAGAGGACGAUCCGCCACACUGGAACUGAGACACGGUCCAGACUCCUACGGGAGGCAGCAGUGGGGAAUCUUGGACAAUGGGCGAAGCCUGAUCCAGCAAUGCCGCGUGCGUGAAGAAGGCCUUCGGGUUAUAAAGCGCUUUUGUUCGGGAGGAAAUCCUAAGGGCUAAUAUCUCUUGGGGAUGACAGUACCGGAAGAAUAAGGACCGGCUAACUACGUGCCAGCAGCCGCGGUAAUACGUAGGGUCCAAGCGUUAAUCGGAAUUACUGGGUGUAAAGGGUGCGCAGGUAGUUUAUUAAGUGUGGUGUGAAAGCCCCGGGCUCAACCUGGGAAUUGCAUUGCAAACUGGUAAACUAGAGUAUGGCAGAGGGGGUGGAAUUCCGCGUGUAGCAGUGAAAUGCGUAGAGAUGCGGAGGAACACCGAUG
This 606-nucleotide ribosomal RNA is filed under the name uncultured bacterium. RNAcentral describes it as "bacterial SSU rRNA". It matches the Rfam family "Bacterial small subunit ribosomal RNA", at positions 112 to 714 of the family's 1533-position model. The record is from RNAcentral.